Molecule: ribosomal RNA, 485 nt
Filed under: uncultured bacterium
Lineage: Bacteria
Description: bacterial SSU rRNA
Rfam family: Bacterial small subunit ribosomal RNA
Source: RNAcentral
GACGAACGCUGGCGGCGUGCCUAACACAUGCAAGUCGAGCGGAGUCGAUCGACGGAAGCCUUCGGGCGGAAGAUGGUUGACUUAGCGGCGGAUGGGUGAGUAACGCGUGGGCAACCUGCCUCGAAGACCGGGAUAACAGCCCGAAAGGGCUGCUAAUACCGGAUGUGGUCAAGGAUCCGCAUGGAUUUUUGAUUAAAGGGGAAACCCGUUUCGAGAUGGGCCCGCGUCCUAUCAGCUAGUUGGUGAGGUAAAAGCUCACCAAGGCGACGACGGGUAGCCGGCCUGAGAGGGUGACCGGCCAACGACUGGAACUGAGACACGGUCCAGACUCCUACGGGGGGCAGCAGUGGGGAAUCUUCCACAAUGGGCGAAAGCCUGAUGGAGCGACGCCGCGUGAGCGAAGAAGGCCUUCGGUUGUAAAGACUCUGUCUGGAGGGACGAAGGAAGUGACGGUACCUCCGGAGGAAGCCACGGCUAACUACGUG